RNAcentral lists this ribosomal RNA (133 nucleotides) under uncultured bacterium. RNAcentral describes it as "partial 16S ribosomal RNA". It matches the Rfam family "Bacterial small subunit ribosomal RNA", at positions 362 to 509 of the family's 1533-position model. The record is from RNAcentral.
UAUUGCACAAUGGGGGAAACCCUGAGUGCAGCGACGCCGCGGUGAGCGAUGAAGUAUUUCGGUAUGUAAAGCUCUAUUCAGCAGGGAAGAAAAUGACGGUACCUGACUAAGAAGCCCCGGCUAACUACGUGCC